AACGUCCCAGUUCGGAUUGUAGUCUGCAACUCGACUACAUGAAGCUGGAAUCGCUAGUAAUCGCGAAUCAGAAUGUCGCGGUGAAUACGUUCCCGGGUCUUGUACACACCGCCCGUCACACCAUGGGAGUUGGGAAUGCCCGAAGCCGGUGACCUAACCGAAAGGGAGGAGCCGUCGAAGGCAGGCUUGAUAACUGGGGUGAAGUCGUAACAAGGUAUC
This 219-nucleotide ribosomal RNA is filed under the name uncultured bacterium. RNAcentral describes it as "partial 16S ribosomal RNA". It matches the Rfam family "Bacterial small subunit ribosomal RNA", at positions 1282 to 1500 of the family's 1533-position model. The record is from RNAcentral.